GGUUAAGCGACUAAGCGUACACGGUGGAUGCCCUGGCAGUCAGAGGCGAUGAAGGACGUGCUAAUCUGCGAUAAGCGUCGGUGAGGUGAUAUGAACCGUUAUAACCGGCGAUUUCCGAAUGGGGAAACCCAGUGUGUUUCGACACACUAUCAUUAACUGAAUCCAUAGGUUAAUGAGGCGAACCGGGGGAACUGAAACAUCUAAGUACCCCGAGGAAAAGAAAUCAACCGAGAUUCCCCCAGUAGCGGCGAGCGAACGGGGAGGAGCCCAGAGCCUGAAUCAGUGUGUGUGUUAGUGGAAGCGUCUGGAAAGGCGCGCGAUACAGGGUGACAGCCCCGUACACAAAAAUGCACAUAUUGUGAGCUCGAUGAGUAGGGCGGGACACGUGGUAUCCUGUCUGAAUAUGGGGGGACCAUCCUCCAAGGCUAAAUACUCCUGACUGACCGAUAGUGAACCAGUACCGUGAGGGAAAGGCGAAAAGAACCCCGGCGAGGGGAGUGAAAAAGAACCUGAAACCGUGUACGUACAAGCAGUGGGAGCCUCUUAAUGGGGUGACUGCGUACCUUUUGUAUAAUGGGUCAGCGACUUAUAUUCUGUAGCAAGGUUAACCGAAUAGGGGAGCCGAAGGGAAACCGAGUCUUAACUGGGCGUUAAGUUGCAGGGUAUAGACCCGAAACCCGGUGAUCUAGCCAUGGGCAGGUUGAAGGUUGGGUAACACUAACUGGAGGACCGAACCGACUAAUGUUGAAAAAUUAGCGGAUGACUUGUGGCUGGGGGGUAGAGCACUGUUUCGGCAAGGGGGUCAUCCCGACUUACCAACCCGAUGCAAACUGCGAAUACCGGAGAAUGUUAUCACGGGAGACACACGGCGGGUGCUAACGUCCGUCGUGAAGAGGGAAACAACCCAGACCGCCAGCUAAGGUCCCAAAGUCAUGGUUAAGUGGGAAACGAUGUGGGAAGGCCCAGACAGCCAGGAUGUUGGCUUAGAAGCAGCCAUCAUUUAAAGAAAGCGUAAUAGCUCACUGGUCGAGUCGGCCUGCGCGGAAGAUGUAACGGGGCUAAACCAUGCACCGAAGCUGCGGCAGCGACACUAUGUGUUGUUGGGUAGGGGAGCGUUCUGUAAGCCUGUGAAGGUGGCCUGUGAGGGUUGCUGGAGGUAUCAGAAGUGCGAAUGCUGACAUAAGUAACGAUAAAGCGGGUGAAAAGCCCGCUCGCCGGAAGACCAAGGGUUCCUGUCCAACGUUAAUCGGGGCAGGGUGAGUCGACCCCUAAGGCGAGGCCGAAAGGCGUAGUCGAUGGGAAACAGGUUAAUAUUCCUGUACUUGGUGUUACUGCGAAGGGGGGACGGAGAAGGCUAUGUUGGCCGGGCGACGGUUGUCCCGGUUUAAGCGUGUAGGCUGGUUUUCCAGGCAAAUCCGGAAAACCAAGGCUGAGGCGUGAUGACGAGGCACUACGGUGCUGAAGCGACAAAUGCCCUGCUUCCAGGAAAAGCCUCUAAGCAUCAGGUAACAUCAAAUCGUACCCCAAACCGACACAGGUGGUCAGGUAGAGAAUACCAAGGCGCUUGAGAGAACUCGGGUGAAGGAACUAGGCAAAAUGGUGCCGUAACUUCGGGAGAAGGCACGCUGAUAUGUAGGUGAAGCGACUUGCUCGUGGAGCUGAAAUCAGUCGAAGAUACCAGCUGGCUGCAACUGUUUAUUAAAAACACAGCACUGUGCAAACACGAAAGUGGACGUAUACGGUGUGACGCCUGCCCGGUGCCGGAAGGUUAAUUGAUGGGGUUAGCGGUAACGCGAAGCUCUUGAUCGAAGCCCCGGUAAACGGCGGCCGUAACUAUAACGGUCCUAAGGUAGCGAAAUUCCUUGUCGGGUAAGUUCCGACCUGCACGAAUGGCGUAAUGAUGGCCAGGCUGUCUCCACCCGAGACUCAGUGAAAUUGAACUCGCUGUGAAGAUGCAGUGUACCCGCGGCAAGACGGAAAGACCCCGUGAACCUUUACUAUAGCUUGACACUGAACAUUGAGCCUUGAUGUGUAGGAUAGGUGGGAGGCUUUGAAGUGUGGACGCCAGUCUGCAUGGAGCCGACCUUGAAAUACCACCCUUUAAUGUUUGAUGUUCUAACGUGGGCCCCUAAUCGGGGUUGCGGACAGUGUCUGGUGGGUAGUUUGACUGGGGCGGUCUCCUCCUAAAGAGUAACGGAGGAGCACGAAGGUUGGCUAAUCCUGGUCGGACAUCAGGAGGUUAGUGCAAUGGCAUAAGCCAGCUUGACUGCGAGCGUGACGGCGCGAGCAGGUGCGAAAGCAGGUCAUAGUGAUCCGGUGGUUCUGAAUGGAAGGGCCAUCGCUCAACGGAUAAAAGGUACUCCGGGGAUAACAGGCUGAUACCGCCCAAGAGUUCAUAUCGACGGCGGUGUUUGGCACCUCGAUGUCGGCUCAUCACAUCCUGGGGCUGAAGUAGGUCCCAAGGGUAUGGCUGUUCGCCAUUUAAAGUGGUACGCGAGCUGGGUUUAGAACGUCGUGAGACAGUUCGGUCCCUAUCUGCCGUGGGCGCUGGAGAACUGAGGGGGGCUGCUCCUAGUACGAGAGGACCGGAGUGGACGCAUCACUGGUGUUCGGGUUGUCAUGCCAAUGGCACUGCCCGGUAGCUAAAUGCGGAAGAGAUAAGUGCUGAAAGCAUCUAAGCACGAAACUUGCCCCGAGAUGAGUUCUCCCUGAGACUUAGAGUCUCCUGAAGGAACGUUGAAGACGACGACGUUGAUAGGCCGGGUGUGUAAGCGCAGCGAUGCGUUGAGCUAACCGGUACUAAUGAACCGUGAGGCUUAACCUU
Molecule: ribosomal RNA, 2824 nt
Filed under: Escherichia coli
Lineage: Bacteria; Pseudomonadati; Pseudomonadota; Gammaproteobacteria; Enterobacterales; Enterobacteriaceae
Description: 23S ribosomal RNA
Rfam family: Bacterial large subunit ribosomal RNA
Source: RNAcentral